Molecule: ribosomal RNA, 2989 nt
Filed under: Picea glauca (white spruce)
Lineage: Eukaryota; Viridiplantae; Streptophyta; Pinopsida; Pinales; Pinaceae
Description: eukaryotic LSU rRNA
Rfam family: Eukaryotic large subunit ribosomal RNA (bases 395-2975)
Source: RNAcentral
ACUCUCAGCAAUGGAUAUCUUGGCUCUUGUCACGAUGAAGAACGUAGCGAAAUACGAUACUUAGUGUGAAUUGCAGAAUCCCGUGAAUCAUCAAGUUUUUGAACGCAAUUUGUCCCCGAGGCCUCGAUCGAGGCCAUGCCUAUCUGGGCAUUGCAUCCUACACACAUGUGAUCCCUACAAGGCAUUGGGGAGGAGUGGAGAUGGUCGUUUAUUCCCAAUGUGGUUCGGUCGGCCGAAAUGCAUGCCAUGUUCUGUGUCUUGUGUCGGCGAGCGGUGAUAUUGUCCCCUUGUUUGGGCAAGUCGGUGUUGGUUGAUGCAGGGUGUGUGCAACAUUUCAGGAACCUGCUUUGCCCAUCAAAUUUCCAUCUUGGUGGAGGUAUUUGGCUCCAACAUGUGACCCCAUCUCAGGCGAGAACACCCGCUGAGCUUAAGCAUAUAAUUAAGCGGAGGAAAAGAAACUUACAAAGAUUCCCCUAGUAACGGCGAGGGAACUGGGAAGAGUCCAGCAUGAAAAUCGGAUGGUAGUGUCGCCUGAAUUGUAGUCUGUAGAAGCGUCCUUAGCAGUGGACCGGGACCAAGUCCCCUAGAAGAGGGUGCUUGAGAGGGUAAUAGCCCCGUCGGGUCGGGACCAUGCCGCACCACGAGGCAUUGUCGACGAGUCGGGUUGUUUGGGAAUGCAGCCCUAAUCGAGUGGUAAAUUUCGUCCAAGGCUAAAUACAGGCGAGAGACCGAUAGCGAACAAGUAUCGCAAGGGAACAAUGAAAAGGACUUUGAAAAGAGAGUUAAAGAGUGCUUGAAAUUAUCGGGAAGGAUGCAGAUGGAGGUCGGCGAUGCAUCUCGGUCGGAUGCAGAAUGGCUCAAGCUGGUCUGCCGCUUGACUCGAGGUGCAAACCAGCGCAGGUCGUUGCAUCGGCAUAAGCACGGGUGGAGUAUUUCCUAUUGGUUUGCCAUUUUGGUGGUUGAGGAAUGAAGCGUGCGCCCUUGGAGCAGGCCACUGUGCACCUGCACGCUUGUGGUGUUGGUUGGUGGGCUUUCCAUUCAACCCAUCUUAAAACAUGGACCAAGGAGUCUAACAUGUGUGCGAGUCGGUGGGUUUGUAAACCUGUGAGGCAUAAGGAAGAUGACGGGAGAGAACCCCUCUCCAUGGGGUGUAUUUCCAACCGACCUUGAGCUUGUGCGAAGGGUUCGAGUGUGAGCACACCUGUUGGGACUUGAAAGAUGGUGAACUAUGCCUGAGCAGGUCGAAGCCAGAGGAAACUCUGGUGGAGGCACAUAGAGAUACUCACAUGCAAAUCGUUCAUCUGACUUGGGUAUAGGGGCGAAAGACUAAUCGAACCAUCUAGUAGCUAGUUUCCUCCAAAGUUUCCCUCAGGAUAGUUGGAGCUCAUGUGCGAGUUUUAUCAGGUAAAGAAAAUGAUUAGAGGCAUUAGGGGCGUAACGCCCUCGACCUAUUCUCAAAAUUUAAAUAAGUAAGACGGUGCAGCUACUCCAUUGAUUUGUGUCACGGAAUCGAGAGCUCCAAGGGUUGGGCCUAGGGGUCUUCGUCCUCAAACUGUGGGCUGUCGGCAAUCUGCCCGAGAUGCUAUCAUGGCGAGGGAGGGAAGUCAUGUGCCAAUUGGGAUACGGACGUAGAAUGUCCUCUCGCGGGGGAUUUUCCCUAGGUGACAAAUAGUCGACUCAGAACUGGUACGGACAAGGGGAAUCCGACUAUUUAAUUAAAAAAAAGCAUUGCAAUGGUCCCUGUGGAUGCUGACACAAUGUGAUUUCUGCCUAGUGCUCUGAAUGUCAAAGUGAAGAAACUCAACCAAGCACGGGUAAACGGUGGGAGUAACUAUGACUCUCUUAAGGUAGCCAAAUGCCUCGUCAUAUAAUUAGUGAUGCACAUGAAUGGAUUAACGAGAUUCCCACUAUCCCUAUCUAUUAUCUAGUGAAACCACAACCAAGGGAACGGGCUUGGCGAAAUCAGCAUGGAAAGAAGACCCUGUUGAGCUUGACUCUAGUUCGACUUUGUGAAAUGACUUGAGAGGUGUAGAAUAAGUGGGAUUCCUUUUCGACGCAAGUGAAAUACCACUACUUUUAAGGUUAUUUUACUUAUUUUGUGGGGCGAAGACGGGUCAUUGCCCCUGUUUUUGGCCUUAAGACAUGUUUCGAUGGGUCGAUCUGGGCAGAAGACAUUGUGAGGUGGGGAGUUUGGCUGGGGUGGCACAUCUGUUAAAAGAUAAUGCAGGUGUCCUAAGAUGAGCUCAACGAGAACAAAAUUCUCGUGUGGAACAAAAGGGUAAAAUCUCAUUUGAUUUUGAUUUUCAGUACGAAUACAAACCAUGAAAGUGUGGCCUAUCGAUCCUUUAGAAUUUAAAAAUUUGAAGCUAGAGGUGUCAGAAAAGUUACCAUAGGGAUAACUGGCUUGUGGCAGCCAAGCAUUCAUAGCGAUGUUACUUUUUGAUCCUUUGAUGUCGGCUCUUCCUAUCAUUAUGAAGCAGAAUUCACCAAGUGUUGGAUUGUUCACCCACCAAUAAGAAACAUGAGAUGGGUUUAGAUCGUCGUGAGACAGGUUAUUUUUACCCUAAUGAUGAACCGCGCUGCAAUAGUAAUUCAACUUAGUACGAGAGCAACCGUUGAUUCACACAAUUGGUCAUAGCGCUUGGUUGAAAAGCCAGUGGUGCAAAGCUAUCGUGUGUCGAAUUAUGACUGAAUGCCUGUAAGUCAGAAUCCACGCUAGAAGAAAUGCUUGUCACUCCUUGAAUGUAUCUUGACCCAUAGUAGGGGUGUCACUUCGGCACCCCCAGGGGCCCAUGUCACCUGCGAACCUCGGCCGGGAAGCAUCUCAAUCGGGGCAGAUUUGAAGUUCAAUUUCAAAUGGUUGUUGAGAAGAAUCCUUUGCAGAUGACUUAAAUACGUGAUGGGGUAUUGUAAGUGGCAGAGUGGCCUUGCUGCCAUGAUCCACUGAGAUUCAUCCCUUCGUCGCCUCAGUUCAGAGCCUAUGCUCAUA